GUUUAUAAUAUAAGCAUCCCUCAUUCAAUCAUUCCAUCCUUUCUUUCUGGAGUAUCGGCACUGAGUUGGUGAGUCUCACACUUCGCAGCCUCGUGGACAUCUGUGCUCUCUCGACUCUCGCUUCUCAGUGGUUCAGUGUCCUUUGUCAAGUGGGAAAUGAAUAAAGGUGGAGUAGUAGGUGCUGGGGGUGCUGGAGGAGGUGGAAGCGGACCAACUGCAGCUGCAACUGCAGCUGCUGCGCAAAAGCAGAAGUCAUUGAUGCAGAGAGUGGAAACAGAUAUUGCCAACAUUGUCGACAAUUUUACUCACCUUGUCAAUGUUGCCAGGGUCAAUGAGCUGCCGGUUAGAAAUUCGCAAGAGGCUUUUAUGAUGGAAAUGCGAGCAGCCAGAAUGGUUCAAGCAGCUGACUCUUUACUUAAGUUGGUGUCAGAGCUUAAACAAACUGCAAUCUUCUCGGGCUUUGCAUCUCUCAAUGAUCAUGUAGACCGAAGGAUAGUUGAGUUUAAUCAGUUGUCAGAAAAAACUGAUGGCAUGUUAGCUAGAAUUGGUGAGGAGGCUGCUGCUAGCCUCAAGGAACUUGAAUCUCAUUAUUAUUCCUCUGCACAAAGGGUAAGUCAAGACUUACAACCGUAAACCAAGGGUUCUGAACAGAAGCAAUGCUGCUUUAUUGUUGAAUCACUUAUUCUCUCUUCCAGUUGAUUUUAUGGUAAAUCCUUUAAUAGUGGACGAUGCAAAUUAUUUUGUUCCUGAUAAGAAUUUGCCUUUUCAUCUGUUCAUGGAAUUUUAGAGGAAAACAGACUUCCAAUUCCUUGUUUUUUG
RNAcentral lists this unclassified non-coding RNA (819 nucleotides) under Hevea brasiliensis (rubber tree). Lineage: Eukaryota; Viridiplantae; Streptophyta; Magnoliopsida; Malpighiales; Euphorbiaceae. The record is from RNAcentral.